CCUACGGGCGGCAGCAGUGAGGAAUAUUGGUCAAUGGACGGAAGUCUGAACCAGCCAUGCCGCGUGCAGGAAGACGGCUCUAUGAGUUGUAAACUGCUUUUGUACAAGGGUAAACCUGAAUACGUGUAUUCAGCUGAAAGUACUGUACGAAUAAGGAUCGGCUAACUCCGUGCCAGCAGCCGCGGUAAUAAGGAGGAUCCAAGCGUUAUCCGGAUUUAUUGGGUUUAAAGGGUGGGUAGGCGGAUUGAUAAGUUAGAGGGGAAAUGUCCGAGCUUAACUCGGGAACUGCCUCUAAUACUGUUGAUCUAGAGAGUAGAUGCGGUAGGCGGAAUGUAUGGUGUAGCGGUGAAAUGCUUAGAGAUCAUACAGAACACCGAUUGCGAAGGCAGCUUACCAAUCUAUAUCUGACGUUGAGGCACGAAAGCGUGGGGAGCAAACAGGAUUAGAUACCCCUGUAGUC
This 460-nucleotide ribosomal RNA is filed under the name uncultured bacterium. RNAcentral's name for it is "partial 16S ribosomal RNA". It matches the Rfam family "Bacterial small subunit ribosomal RNA", at positions 338 to 795 of the family's 1533-position model. The record is from RNAcentral.